ACUUCAGCUACUAUUAUUUUGGAGUUUUCAUUUGAAUCAUAGCCAUUUUUGUUGUUGUGACGAAGUUUUAAUUUUCGCUACUAUGGUUGCUACGAGUGAAAAUAAUUGCGCAGAUGCCUGUAAAAACCUAGCUCUGUUGCUGUUACUUCUAAAUGUACAAAAUCUUCACAGAUUUCUGGUUUUUUUUUUUUUUUUUUGUGGGUGCAUUUUCAUUUGUUUAUUCUAGGGUUUGAGAAUGUAAAGAGGG
This 247-nucleotide long non-coding RNA is filed under the name Citrus sinensis (sweet orange). RNAcentral describes it as "long non-coding RNA (CSIN_LNC000870)". The record is from RNAcentral. Lineage: Eukaryota; Viridiplantae; Streptophyta; Magnoliopsida; Sapindales; Rutaceae.